UCCUUAGGGGGGCCACCAGUGGGAAAUAUUGGCCAAUGGGGGAAAGCCUGUUCCAGCCCUUCCGGGUGUUUAAAGAAGGUUUUUGGAUGUAAAGCCCUUUAAGUUGGGAGGAAGGGCAGUAAGUUAUUCCCAAGAAGUUUGGACGUUACUGACAGAAUAAGCACCGGCUAACUCUGUGCCAGCAGCCGCGGUAAUACAGAGGGUGCAAGCGUUAAUCGGAAUUACUGGGCGUAAAGCGUGCGUAGGUGGUUUUUUAAGUUGGAUGUGAAAUCCCCGGGCUCAACUUGGGAAUUGCAUUCAAAACUGGCAAGCUAGAGUAUGGUAGAGGAUGGUGGAAUUUCAGGUGUAGCGGUGAAAUGCGUAGAUAUAGGGAGGAACACCAGUGGAGAAGGCGACCACCUGGAAUAAUACUGACAAUGAGGUGGGAAAGCGUGGGGAGGAAAGAGGAUUAGAUACCCUGGGGGUCCAAGGCCAAAAAGCCAAUAUACGCACG
This 493-nucleotide ribosomal RNA is filed under the name uncultured Pseudomonas sp. RNAcentral's name for it is "bacterial SSU rRNA". It matches the Rfam family "Bacterial small subunit ribosomal RNA", at positions 335 to 819 of the family's 1533-position model. Lineage: Bacteria; Pseudomonadati; Pseudomonadota; Gammaproteobacteria; Pseudomonadales; Pseudomonadaceae. The record is from RNAcentral.